CUUUUCUCUCCUUGAUUCAGUGAGAAGGUGAAGGGCUCCAUGAAUCAGAGGCUACUGAUGUUGCUGCAUAUCGAAGUUAGUGGGUCUUCUAUAGAGAAAAGCGUUCUUUAAUCAGCAUCUUUUACUUUACUGAAAUUAACUCUGCUAUGCUAAUAUAGUCUUACUGAUUAAAGACCCUAAGCUUUGCUCUAAUAGUCUGAAUUACUGCUAGGAUAAUGACAUGUCUGCUUCUAAAAGUCCUGUGCGUUCCAACCAAAUUACAUCUGUAUUUGUGCAUGGAUAAAUAUGAAUUAUUCUCACAUAAUUUACAUCAAACAUCCUUCCUGUUUCAAAAAUACCAUGGGAGAGAAAGUGACCACGUCACCUGGCAGUCAUCCUUUGCUUUCAUAAAGACCUGUUGGGAGAACAGACACCCCUCCUGGCUUUUAAAAAGGAAAGAAAUCUGUAGGAGAAAUCCUCUUACAUGCAUAGAGUGAGUCAGGCUCCUGUACAGCAAGAAUACCUGCAUCUGUGCUGUAAGGUGGAAGAAGAAAAUCUAGUUUGACACUGUACAGUAAUGGAGAAGAAAGCAAGCAAGGAAGAAACAACUAUACUUGAUUUAUGAUUUGCAAUGUCUAACGUAUUGCUUUUGCACCAAGGAUGCACGUAUGGGAGUGACAUCACACCUGGCGAAGCUCUGAAAUCAAAUGACUGCUGUGGAAAUAACUGCUCCUAGCCUGUGACUGUGGUGCAAGUGGGACAUGUCAUGAGAGCAGUGCUGCAGCGAGGCGAGUGCAGCAGAGAAAAUGACUGAGGGUGAAGCCAAUGCACUUGUAGCAGCACUUGGUACCGCCACGUGAUUGCCCCCAUCCCCGCUCCCUGGCUGGUGGUGCAUGAGGCCCGUAAGCCCCUCAGUGCUUAUUUUAAGAUGGGGCUCAUCAGUUGACUUAAGCUUUAGGUGAUCUCUCACAGUGCCAUCUCUGUGAUUUCCAUUUUUGUCCAGAACCUCUGCUUGGCCUCAUGCUUUGCUGGCUGACAGGUUGCCUGGAGGUUGCGUGCCUGGCAGAAGCAACUCUCUCCCUUGGUUGACCUGAGGGACUUCAGAUUUAGUUGUUCCUACCAUCUCACUCGCAAUGAAGAGAAAAAGUUUUACAACUUACACUAUAUUAAAUCUUAAAAAGAAGGUGGCCAUUAUUAAUGAAACUGAAACCUUUCCUUGCUGUAAGUUACCACAAAAUUUGAUCUGAGCUAAUGUAAUUUCAGGGAAAUGUAAUACACUGCAAUCUUGGCUACCAGCAAGAGGCCAAAUGUGAUACAUACCCCCUUUUAUGGUCUUCACAACAUUAGCCCAAUUUGCAGAACAAACACAUCCAGCCUUCAGCCCUCGUGCUUUGACUCAUGCAUAAGGCAGCUAAUAAGAUUGACGCGUCCAGUGGUGCUCCAGGACAAAACUCCCCCUGGCAUCGGUGAGAGCUGCUCCAGCGCCUGCGUUCUCCCAGCAAAACUGCCUGCUUAACAGCUCCUCUGAGAGGCACUCGCAGCCCCAGGAGAAGAAGGUCAGAGCCACAGUAGCAGCAGCUCGCAGAGGUUAGGCUCUCUCCCACGCUUGGCAAUAGUGAGGGGGUUGAAGGGAUCUCUGGAAGUCUCCAGUUCAGAGUAAAACUGUUAUUCACACUAAGUCAGGAAGAUCAUAAUACCUUUUUUAUUUUUAUUAUUAUUAUUAUUAUUAGAGUAAAGGGAGGUUGGAUUUGUGGACCUUUAAGGAGUACAGCUUGCAUGGUGGUACAGGACACAAAUCACUAACCAGCUUUAGGCCACGAGUUAAACAUUAGAGAGAAAUGGUAACUAUUAAACUCACUUAGUACAGACUUGUGCUGACAUUAUUCCUGCUACCCAAGCUGCAUUCACUAGAAACAAGAAUUAUUUUUUUAAACUGCAGAUAUCUUUCUUCUCUAGACUGGCCUGAAAGGCCCCUACGGGUAAAAUAGAGAAAAUCCAGCAAGGAAUUGAUGGCAUCCCUGUGUGCCAGGGUCACAGGAGGACAGAAAACACAAAGUGUUUUGAAAUGGAUACUCCCAAAAUUCAUGUGAUGGGGAUAAAUAAAUACUGGGUGAAACCAUGGAAGCCUCCAGGAUCAGAUCCUGUAACUGAGCAGUAAGGAGAGCUGUCAUUACAUGACCGCAGAAUUUCAGGGCUCAUGGAAAAACACAGAUGAGCAUGACUUGGAGCCUCCUGGAAACGGUUAUGCUCUGUUCCUCCCACACCAGAGAGGUGGCAUGCUCGAGCUCAGCGGCACAGAACACCCCUUGGCCCAGCACAGAUGGACAGCCCCACACCUGUGUAAGCUUCAAGAGGCAUGAGAGGAGCAUCCACCGUCUCAUUUCCUCCACUGUUGAAAGCAGGGGAGAAACUGCCACACCUUGUCCUUGAGCAGCUCCAAAGCUGGAGCUAUGUGAAUUCUGCUGUGAAAUCCCAUCCCACCGGAGCUGGUUUUGUACCACGUGGUUUUCCUCCCCUUCCAGCUCCUGCUCGCAGUUCAGCCGAGGUAAUUUAGCUGUAACCAUUCUGUAAUACUAGCUCUUGGGCUGCUGUAGUGCCCUUUGCUGCUGGACCUGCCUGAGCAUGCUGGCGCUUGCUGCAGGAGGAGGAUGCGGUGGGAUGGCUGCGGUACCAGCUGUAGCCCAGACCUAGCUGACCCGUGCCAGGCCAUGUAUGCGGAUGGCAAAAUACCAUCUACCCUUUUGGAAACCAAUCUGCUCCAUUAACUGAUGUCAGGGACCAAACCACAGCGCCGUUCUGAUGAGAAACGACGUGUGUUGUGGGAAUGCAUGGCUGGUUUCCACAAGCCUUAUCACAAGGCAAAUCUUUUAACAGUCUUUCAUGCCCAUUUUUUAAUUUUUCCUCCUUUUUUUUUUAAUCUUUAAAUGGAGAAAUGGUUGCUACAGUCCUGCUGUUAAGCAUUUCUUAAGUUUUGAAGCAUUUUCACAGUCUGUAUACAUACCGAAAAUCAGGAUGAAGAGACCUUUUGCCCUUCUGCUCUACGGGAGGUCUCUGCCCUUCCCGAGCUCGCCUUCGGACCCCACGUUAGGCUCUGACAGGUGUACCCCCCCAGGCAAACUCUGGCAGCGGCUCCAACGCGGCGGGGCCGGGAGUAGCUCCGUGACCCCCUGCAAUUCCAAGAGCGGCCCCUUGGGGGCGCAGCGAGCGGCGCGGGCAGACGGCGCGGCAGUGCGACGGGGUACCGCUGUCCUCUCGGCAGAGCGGCUCACCGGUCCGCUGCCUCCCAGGCUACAAAUCCAGCCGUGGUCCCCAUUAGGCAGAAAGCUCUUGCCAAAAGGAACGUGGCUACCCAGACUGAGUGCCUACCCACUCUUCGGGUCUCUAGAUGCGGGGGGUGCCUGAGCCUGCUGCUGCCCCCGCACGAUGGCAGAAAUACCAUCUGCAUGAGGUGGAUGACCUGCUCAGCCUGGUGGCAGAGCUGAAGAGAUUAAAGAGCAUCAGGGAGUGUGAGCAGGAGACAAACUGGUGGAGCAGCUCCCUGCCAUAUCUGUGAGAAAGGCAGCGGUGUGAUAACAAUUCAGAUAAGCAGUGGACCCCUUGCCCUGUUGCAGUCGGGCAGGGGGUGGGGAACCUAAGAGACAGAAAGGAAUGGAAACAGAACUCCCUCCCUACCUAUGCUGCCUUCCCAGAUGCAUUUACACCAUAGGUUUGAGGCUCUGGAACUCCAAAGACAGGUGCAGAUGCUGUGGGAGGUCCACCCAGGAGGUUGUCUAUGGCAAGGCGGUUGACUCCACGCCUCAAGACUCCUCUGCCAAGAAGGAAAGAAGGGCUCCCUUUAAGUACUGGAAUGCCACAACGAGGUCUCCCUGGAGCCUUCUCUUUCCAGCAUGAACAAAGCUGCCUCCCUCAGCCUUUCUUCACAGAAGAGGUGCUCCAGCCCUUUGAUCAUCUUUGUCGCUCUCCUCUGGACCCGCUCCACCCAAGAGGCAGAAAUAACCCAGCAAGUAUGUGAGCAAAGUCCUCCUCUGUCAGCAAAAGGCAUGCUCUGGGCUGCUUACUAUGCUGUGCAAUAGCAAAAAUGGGGGGCAGUGAAUUAAUACCCCCAGUGCUAACUCAAGGCCUCCCACCCCAUAGCCUGCUGGGCUCUAAUUGGCCUGGCUGCAAACUUGUGCUGGAAAACAUUAGUUUGGGUUGUAAACGCAGGAGGAACCCAUCUUCAGAAUUAGCUUAGUGGUAUCUGGAUGCUAAUCCAUUAUUUUAAUAUUAUAGAAAUAUAAAUGUACUUUAAUAUUAUUUCAUUAGUAAAGUAUUAAUGUGCUAUUAAUAAACAUAUUCCAC
Long non-coding RNA from Gallus gallus (chicken), 4317 nucleotides. Lineage: Eukaryota; Metazoa; Chordata; Aves; Galliformes; Phasianidae. The record is from Ensembl.